RNAcentral lists this long non-coding RNA (226 nucleotides) under Ananas comosus (pineapple). RNAcentral describes it as "long non-coding RNA (ACOM_LNC013956)". Lineage: Eukaryota; Viridiplantae; Streptophyta; Magnoliopsida; Poales; Bromeliaceae. The record is from RNAcentral.
CCUUUAUUCUUGACAAAUUGUCUUGCUAUAGUAUUUGAAUACUAGAUCAGUUAUCCCAGGCACUAACAUUCUACUUAGGUUACCGACCGUCCCUAGAGCAAGUGGCAAAGGGCUUGAUGGUUGGUACCCGAGAUCCAAGUUCGAAUCCUAAUUGAUUCACAUUUCCAGCUAAGUUUAUUUCUAAAUGAAAUAAACGAAGCGGAUAGCGUGCUACCUAUCUCUCCAA